UACAGAGGUCCCGAGCGUUGUUCGGAUUCAUUGGGCGUAAAGGGUGCGUAGGUGGCGCUGUAAGUGGGGUGUGAAAUCCCGGGGCUUAACUCCGGAACUGCAUUCCAUACUGCGGUGCUUGAGGACUGGAGAGGAGACUGGAAUUUACGGUGUAGCAGUGAAAUGCGUAGAGAUCGUAAGGAAGACCAGUGGCGAAGGCGGGUCUCUGGACAGUUCCUGACACUGAGGCACGAAGGCCAGGGGAGCAAACGGG
Molecule: ribosomal RNA, 253 nt
Filed under: uncultured bacterium
Lineage: Bacteria
Also listed under: 1 other name
Description: partial 16S ribosomal RNA
Rfam family: Bacterial small subunit ribosomal RNA
Source: RNAcentral